This 465-nucleotide ribosomal RNA is filed under the name uncultured bacterium. RNAcentral's name for it is "bacterial SSU rRNA". It matches the Rfam family "Bacterial small subunit ribosomal RNA", at positions 338 to 795 of the family's 1533-position model. The record is from RNAcentral.
CCUACGGGUCGCACCAGUGGGGAAUAUUGCACAAUGGGCGCAAGCCUGAUGCAGCCAUGCCGCGUGUAUGAAGAAGGCCUUCGGGUUGUAAAGUACUUUCAGGGGGGAGGAAGGCGAUAAGGUUAAUAACCUUGUCGAUUGACGUUACCCGCAGAAGAAGCACCGGCUAACUCCGUGCCAGCAGCCGCGGUAAUACGGAGGGUGCAAGCGUUAAUCGGAAUUACUGGGCGUAAAGCGCACGCAGGCGGUCUGUCAAGUCGGAUGUGAAAUCCCCGGGCUCAACCUGGGAACUGCAUUCGAAACUGGCAGGCUAGAGCCUUGUAGAGGGGGGUAGAAUUCCAGGUGUAGCGGUGAAAUGCGUAGAGAUCUGGAGGAAUACCGGUGGCGAAGGCGGCCCCCUGGACAAAGACUGACGCUCAGGUGCGAAAGCGUGGGGAGCAAACAGGAUUAGAUACCCUCGUAGUC